UGGGGAAUCUUGCGCAAUGGGCGAAAGCCUGACGCAGCCAUGCCGCGUGAAUGAUGAAGGUCUUAGGAUUGUAAAAUUCUUUCACCGGGGACGAUAAUGACGGUACCCGGAGAAGAAGCCCCGGCUAACUUCGUGCCAGCAGCCGCGGUAAUACGAAGGGGGCUAGCGUUGCUCGGAAUUACUGGGCGUAAAGGGAGCGUAGGCGGACAUUUAAGUCAGGGGUGAAAUCCCGGGGCUCAACCUCGGAAUUGCCUUUGAUACUGGGUGUCUUGAGUGUGAGAGAGGUAUGUGGAACUCCGAGUGUAGAGGUGAAAUUCGUAGAUAUUCGGAAGAACACCAGUGGCGAAGGCGACAUACUGGCUCAUUACUGACGCUGAGGCUCGAAAGCGUGGGGAGCAAACAGGAUUAGAUACCCUGGUAGUCCACGCCGUAAACGAUGAUUGCUAGUUGUCGGGAUGCAUGCAUUUCGGUGACGCAGCUAACGCAUUAAGCAAUCCGCCUGGGGAGUACGGUCGCAAGAUUAAAACUCAAAGGAAUUGACGGGGGUCAUAGCUGUUUCCUG
RNAcentral lists this ribosomal RNA (562 nucleotides) under uncultured bacterium. RNAcentral describes it as "partial 16S ribosomal RNA". It matches the Rfam family "Bacterial small subunit ribosomal RNA", at positions 355 to 941 of the family's 1533-position model. The record is from RNAcentral.